AGAUUGAACGCUGGCGGCAUGCUUUACACAUGCAAGUCGAACGGUAACAGGCCGCAAGGUGCUGACGAGUGGCGAACGGGUGAGUAAUGUAUCGGAACGUGCCCAGUCGUGGGGGAUAACGCAGCGAAAGCUGCGCUAAUACCGCAUACGAUCUAUGGAUGAAAGCGGGGGACCGUAAGGCCUCGCGCGAUUGGAGCGGCCGAUAUCAGAUUAGGUAGUUGGUGGGGUAAAGGCUCACCAAGCCAACGAUCUGUAGCUGGUCUGAGAGGACGACCAGCCACACUGGGACUGAGACACGGCCCAGACUCCGUACGGGACGGCAGCAGGUGGGUAAUUUUGGACAAGUGGGCGCGAAGCCUGAACUCCAAG
RNAcentral lists this ribosomal RNA (369 nucleotides) under uncultured soil bacterium. RNAcentral describes it as "bacterial SSU rRNA". It matches the Rfam family "Bacterial small subunit ribosomal RNA", at positions 26 to 391 of the family's 1533-position model. The record is from RNAcentral.